CCCCUUGAUGAUGUAGAUCUGGUGGCUCAUAUUCUUCAUGGUCUCACUCCAGAUUAUGAGGCUUUUAGCACUUCCAUUCGUGUGCGUGCCGAACCGGUUACCGCCGAUGAGCUUCAUGGACUUCUGUUGAGUCAAGA
Molecule: small nucleolar RNA, 137 nt
Organism: Rosa rugosa (rugosa rose)
Lineage: Eukaryota; Viridiplantae; Streptophyta; Magnoliopsida; Rosales; Rosaceae
Product: small nucleolar RNA Z247
Exons: 1
Source: RefSeq, a predicted model, not a curated record